CUUGGUCUCACCCUGCACCUCAUUAUCUGUGACCCUGUCCCCCCCACCCAUCCCACUGCACUCCGGUCUCCUGUCCCCCGGGAUGGGGACGGGGACGGCUGUAACGGGGGUUUUGCCCUGGCACAGGUCGUCGGUGGAGGUCCUGCCGGAGGAGCUGGGCUUGCCGGGCCCCUACGGGUGUGGGAGCAAUGGGACCAGCUUCGAGGAUGACCUGACCCUGGGAGCUGAAGCUCUUCUGCUGCCGGGGAGCUACAAGGCCAUGGGCAGGACCCUGCAGGACAAGCACCUUCACCG
This is a long non-coding RNA of Egretta garzetta (little egret), 294 nucleotides long. RefSeq lists it as uncharacterized. The transcript is spliced from 4 exons. NCBI's taxonomy places the organism in Eukaryota, Metazoa, Chordata, Aves, Pelecaniformes, Ardeidae. The record is from RefSeq and is a predicted model, not a curated record.